GUACCUCUGAAGCUGUUUGGUUGAAAACGACAACAUUGUGUAGAAUGAAUGAAUUAAGGAUAACACUGAACCUAUGUACAGCGAGAAAUGUUCCCUCUCUCUAUUAUUUAGGAUUCAUUCGUUUAAUGUUUAUGUUGGUGGAAGAUUUGGGUUAUAGGGAGUUAACAUAUAUGAGUAUAGUAGUUAAUAAUAGUUAAUCAGACACGUGUAGAAGCAAUGGAAAGAAAAAUGGGCUUCUUCAUAUUGGGAUUCAAGUUCAAAUGUACUAUUGGGAGAAGAUGGUGAACAAAAGGAUGACUCGGUGGUGGUGAAUCCACCGCCUAAUUACUCUGUCUGACCGCAGGUUUGUUGCACACUGAAGUCUUGGCGGCACAUCGUACUUGAACUUUGUCCCCAAUCUCGUCGCAGUUCAUGUGUGCAACCAUGACAUGAAUUUUAU
This 439-nucleotide long non-coding RNA is filed under the name Trifolium pratense (red clover). RNAcentral's name for it is "long non-coding RNA (TPRA_LNC010571)". The record is from RNAcentral. Lineage: Eukaryota; Viridiplantae; Streptophyta; Magnoliopsida; Fabales; Fabaceae.